AAGUCGUAACAAGGUCUCCGUAGGUGAACCUGCGGAGGGAUCAUUACAGAGUUCAUGCCCUUCGGGGUAGACCUCCCACCCCUGCGUAUUUAUACCCUUGUUGCUUUGGCAGGCCGCUCGGCUUCGGCCAGGCUACCGGCCCCGGCUGGUACGUGCCUGCCAGAGGACCCCAAACUCUGAAUUAGUGUCGUCUGAGUACUAUAUAAUAGUUAAAA
This 215-nucleotide unclassified non-coding RNA is filed under the name plant metagenome. RNAcentral's name for it is "partial contains small subunit ribosomal RNA and internal transcribed spacer 1". The stretch from base 1 to 46 matches the Rfam family "Eukaryotic small subunit ribosomal RNA", at positions 1786 to 1831 of the family's 1831-position model. The record is from RNAcentral.